Pezoporus occidentalis (night parrot) is the source of this 4692-nucleotide long non-coding RNA. RefSeq lists it as uncharacterized. The transcript is spliced from 2 exons. NCBI's taxonomy places the organism in Eukaryota, Metazoa, Chordata, Aves, Psittaciformes, Psittacidae. The record is from RefSeq and is a predicted model, not a curated record.
UGUGUCAAUAUUGAGUUUAACAGAAUGCUGUGUGGUUUAUACCAUUUGUUGUCAUAAAAAAAGUCUAACUUGCUACAUUGACAAGCAGAUCUGAGAGACAUCUGUUAGAUGGACUUGCACUUUGGAAAAGCAGCACGUGAAAAAGGAAGUAGUCUUUACUGAAAAAAAAUGCUGGAAACCUGUAAUUUAAAUGUGUCAUUAAUCAUGUGAACACUUCUUAAUUACCAUUUGAAUUCUGUGUUGAUGAAUAAUAUUUUUGAAAGCAAGAUUUUCUGAAAUGAUGCUUCUGUACCUUACGUGAAUGUAAAAGGCUUGAUAUUCAUCUGGUAUAGAUAAGUGUGGGGUUGCUGAAGACAGCUGAUGGUGUGGCCUUUGGGGUCUGCAGAUAAUGAUGACAGUAGCCUGUGCUUCCAUCUUUGAGGAAAGCCUUUGCUCAUCCCUCCUCUUAAGUCUGACGUUACCGAUCAAGAUCAAUUUUCCUGGGCUGUGGGCUUCUCUGGGUAACAGUCUAAGCUCGUUGGUGAGUAUGGAGGCCAAAAGAGUGCAGCUGGCAAUCUUUCCAGGCUGCUGAGUUGGAAGGGAACAAAAGGCUACUUCUCUCUGAUGUUGGAUGAGCAAUGACCAAGGCAUUGCGUGCAGAUGUCCCUGCCGCAAUAGGGCAUUCCCCAUGGUCAUUGCAUCUCUGGGCUCUGUUACUGAAGAGUAAAUCCAAAGUGCAUAUAUCAAUGCUGAGUGAGCGGCUUUUGGGCACCUCUAAUCUUAGAGGUUUUGUAACAUUUUUUUGAAGUCCUAAAGUGUCCUUGUUGCUUGACUUGAGAGUAAGGCAGUAAUAUUGCUAAUAUGAAGAGUGUGCAUUUCCAUUAGCAGCAUGCAAGCUCAGCCAGAUUUCUGUUUCCCUCCAUUUCUGGCUGGUGGGAGUAGCAGCAGCUGCUGCAGCAAGUAUCUAGCCAUAGAAUGACAAGAAGGAAGAGUUUUAGGUUUUAUUUCUUUGUAAAGCUAAUAUUUCCAUUUUGUUAAGAAUUUCCUAAUUAUACGCAUACCUUCUGUAUAUUAUGGGUAGGCUACUCACAUAAAAUAAUAAACCCUCCAGAAAGUGGAAUAAGCUAAGGAUGAGACCCAAGGCAGAACUCGGCUUGGGUUUCUUACGUGUCUUUCCUUCGAGCAUGCUGUCUUCUAUUUCUUCUCCCAUCCCCAAAGGGAAAACAAAGUAAACCCUAUGAAAAUCCUUGAGACUUGUCUUCUGGCUGUGCUGGCAGGCUUAUAGAACUUGCAUUCAGAUACCAGAACAACUAAAACUCUCCUACUCUCAAACAAAAAUGACUUGUGCGGGUUUUUGAAGGGUAUUUUGCACUUUCUGCUGUGUUAUUUGGACCGAGUCCAACAGGCAUCGUGUCUUGUCUCUUAUCUCUUCGAACACAUCCUUUACAAAAGCAGCUCUGUAAAGCCAAGCCUGCCAAAUUUGUAUAGCUCUUCUGUUCCGUCUUUCUGCCUUCCCUGGCUGAAAGAAUAGAAGGGAAUUUUGGUUUUAUUUUUAGGAAGUGAUGUUCUAGGCAAAGAAUCAAAACUCCAAGCUAGUUGGUGGUUCUGCUCUGCCUCCCAACUUCCACUUGUGCCCAUUUGGAUAUUUACAUCUAAGUAGUCUAUUGCCUUGGAGCAUCUCUGAGGUUGCACAGCGGUCCUUUAACAAAGACAAGUCCUCCUAGCUUGCUGUGGACAGGGAUAAAGGACUGACCCCAUGGAAGAUGAUGGCAAAACUCCCCAUGAGUUUCUAGGGCACAAUUUCAUAUAAACUUUUUUGCUGUUUGUAUAAACAGCUAUAUUCAGAAAACAAAACACAAACAAAUCUAGUGUUGCUCUUCUCUGAUGUGGGGAUUUUAAUGGGCUUCCAGUACUUCCUUUGAGGAGUUACUUAACUUGGAACAAUUAUUUAUUAAACUUGGCCUGUUACUUACCCAGUUUAUAAAACCAUGGAUUGGAUUGUCAAAUGCUUGGCUGCACUUCUCACUGUUUAGAGGGUUCUCAGUGAAGAGACUAACCAAAUUCAGUAGUUCAUGUUCAACCUCUGGGGGUAUACAAGACUUUUUUAGUACCUUCCAUGACAAAGGCAGGGAGGGUUAGUGUGUUUUAAAUUGUAAAGGACGAUUUAUCGUUGUAUGAGCCAAAAGCUUCUUCUGGGAACUGUGUAUAAAAGUGCUGAAGCAGAUGCCUGUUCCGGAGGGACGGUGUUAGUUCCCUAUAGGAUGGCUGGAGUGUGGAGAAGCUGGAUGCUACAUUUUAUUUGUAAUUGCUUAUAGUUUUCCAGAAAGUGAAUUGUUAUUUUAAGACUCGCUGAUCUAGCUGAUGACAGUGUUUUAUCAGUCAGCAGAAGCACUUUCUGGCUACUCUUUAAUCUGUUCGCAUCAGCAUUAGCUUUGAAAGAAGAAAAAGUGUUUACAUGGAUAUACAUGUCCACACACACACACACAAGAAGAGAUCAUUACCUUCGCAGGCACUAUGUGUUCAAGUUUGAGAGCUUAUUUUCAUCAACUCCAGUCCUUGUUCCAGCUGAUGUCUUGCUCUGCCUCCUGUGCCAUUACUGCUGUUCCUAAACAGUGGCUUUUCCCUUUGGUGCAUCUUUCUUUUUGACAUUCACUUCCUUCUAGUUCUGAAAUGGUACUGAUGUUUAUGACCAAAUUCCCAUUUGGAGCUCAGGUAGAAGACAUAACUUGAGCUCUGCCAAUGGUAAAGCCUUUGUUUUUGAUGACUUGCAUUUGAUUGAAUUUGAUGACUUGCACUUUGCUGCAUUUUCUUCAUGUUGUAGCUUUUGAAGUGGCAAAAGCUCUAAAUGUGAAGUACCUGGAGUUUUGUGGUGACUCAAUACACUAAUUUCAUGGCCAGCUCAUUUCAGCUUUUGCUUUAUUGUCUCUCCAUUUAGAUGUGUAUCAACCCACAGUUAAAUCUCUCUUUCUCCCUGAGCUCAGUUCCCUCAGUUCAGUGCUUUUUGAUUUCAGCCUGACAAGGAGAAACAUGGUGGCAGGGGGUGCGUGUGUGAAGUUCUGAUGCAUCUGUCUCCAAAAGGUUUUAUUUCUGUGUGUCUGCUCACCUGAAAAGCAUCAUUUGAAUGGAGGGCUGUCAAGUUAUGUUGGUGAACUUCUAAUAUUGCUAGCUGUAUAGCAGUGUGCGCUGGUUUCUGCUGGUACCAGAGAUCUUUACAAACAAAAUUCCUUCAGAUGUUUUGACUUUUGAGCUCUAACAAGAUACAUACAUCUAUCUAGCAGUUUGUAUUAUUCAAGCUAUGUCUGUUUGGCAUACAGCCUGGCAGGACCCCAUAGUCUUCAGUGGAAUCUGAUGUUAUUUCUCACUACGAUUAUUAAAGAGAAUACUCACAAAAUAUUAAAUUAGAUACUUCAGGAUACCUUUAAACUCCAGUGAAGUUUCCUGUAGGGGAGAUAUGUGUUUGUGAGGUUUAGUUCAGAUUUUCCUCAUAUGGUUUAAGUCUUUGAAUACCUGAAAUUUUGAAUGUUUUUAUCCUCAUCAAUUCUAACUGAAGCAUGAAAGAGAUUUAAGUCAUUUGAUAGCUCUUUACCUAGUAUUCUGUGCAUUAAAAAUUCAUUUGCUUAUGAAAACAAGAACUGUGCAUCCCAAAUAGAAAUAUAUAUCACAUAUAAGCAUGUUAUAAGUUGGGUUUGAACAGUAUGUAAAAGGACAUAUGUAAAUUGCUUUGCUUUUUGUAUGCUAAUAUUCUUCUGCCUCCACUGCAUUUGAAUGUCCUUUGUAGAUAAGUGCUAGAAUUCAGGAACUUGAAACAAGUAGGUGAGAAGAGUAACUAUUCUGCUUGUGUAAUGAUGAAGAUUAAUGUGAAGACAUGCAUGCUUCUUCUACAUCUGCUUAAUACACCAUCAGUGGCUUCUGGAAAAAAACCUGCCCCUGUAUUGCCUACCUGCAUCUUACAGGUGUAAAUUAAAACUUAGAGAAAGGUGAUCUAAGAGCUUUGAUUUACCCUGAAGCUUAAAAUUGAUCUUCAAAGUGAGGUGGUUAAUGAGGCAGGUGAUACCCAGGCUUGUGGGUUUUUUGUUUUUUCCUUCAUAUGGAAGGAUUUUACAUAUACAUAGGUGUGUUUUGGUAUUAGCAGCUUAGUUAAAUCACUUCAAGAUACAUUUCAAUGUAUCACGGAGCUUUCUCUGGCAAGUUGAAUUCCACAUAUUGAAAUGCUGUUUGAAGUCGCCUUGUUUCAACUUGGCAAGCGCUACUAAAGAUCUCUGAGAGGACUUUAAGGUACUGCAGAGCCACUUACAGGAGUUGCAGGAAAUACCAGUUGAGGGUGCUAGGUGGGAAGAAGGGGUCUGAGGUUGGGCAGGAAAGAGCUGUUUGAUGGUCAACCAGCUACAGAGGGACCUGAAAACAGACCCGAAAGCAAAACUCGGCCUGAGCCUGCCUGCCAUGUAGCAGUGAUAGGGUAGCAAAAAGCCAGCAUAGCCAUUUUAAUGUUACCCUUUUGAGGAGCAGGAUAGAUGAGCCUAGAAGUGCUGCACUGAAGUGUCUGUACUUCUUUCAGGCCCCAUUAAACUUUAUCAGUGUGCAGAAAUGUAAAUAUGGUUUAACACUUUUACUUACAAAAUUAAAUCUGAUUAAUAUCUGUGUCUGCCUGGGGUAGCUCUUGUACUGCAGUGUUCAGUGACUGCUCUUUGUGUUUAAUAAAGCUGCUUAAAAUAG